Molecule: unclassified non-coding RNA, 364 nt
Filed under: uncultured bacterium
Lineage: Bacteria
Description: contains 16S-23S intergenic spacer region
Source: RNAcentral
UCCGGAUUAAACACCGGCAGUCUUAUGUGAAAAUGCAACACAUAACAGGGGUUGCGCUCGUUAUAGGACUUAACCCAACAUCUCACGACACGAGCUGACGACAGCCAUGCAGUGCCUGGCCAUCAGCUCCUUGCGGCACAUCCCUGUUUCCAGGGACUUCUGAUGAUUUCAAGCCUAGGUAAGGUUCUUCGUUCAGUAUCGAAUUAAACCACAUGCUCCACCGCUUGUGCGGGCUCCCGUCAAUUCCUUUGAGUUUUAGCCUUGCGGCCGUACUGCCCAGGCGGGAUGCUUAACGCGUUAGCUUCGAGACCGGAAGGGUCGAUACUUCCAGCCCCUAGCAUCCAUAGUUUACGGCGUGGACUAC